UUGUAGCCCCAGAGGUGGUAGGCCGGCAGCGGUAUGGACGCCCUGUGGACUGCUGGGCCAUUGGAGUCAUCAUGUACAUCCUGUGAGUGGACAGAUGGACAAGCAGGCUUGCAGUCAGAUGGGGUGGGGGCAUGUGUCUGUGGCCUUUCUGUGUGACCCUUCCCCCAUGCAGGCUUUCAGGCAACCCACCUUUCUACGAGGAGGUGGAAGAAGAUGAUUAUGAGAACCAUGAUAAGAAUCUCUUCCGCAAGAUCCUGGCUGGUGACUAUGAGUUUGACUCUCCAUAUUGGGAUGAUAUUUCGCAGGCAGCCAAAGACCUGGUCACAAGGCUGAUGGAGGUGGAGCAAGACCAGCGGAUCACUGCAGAAGAGGCCAUCUCUCAUGAGUGGAUUUCUGGCAAUGCUGCUUCUGAUAAGAACAUCAAGGAUGGUGUCUGUGCCCAGAUUGAAAAGAACUUUGCCAGGGCCAAGUGGAAGAAGGCUGUCCGAGUGACCACCCUCAUGAAACGGCUCCGGGCACCAGAGCAGUCCAGCACGGCUGCAGCCCAGUCGGCCUCAGCCACAGACACUGCCACCCCCGGAGCUGCAGG
This 589-nucleotide small RNA is filed under the name Pongo abelii (Sumatran orangutan). RNAcentral's name for it is "retained intron". The record is from RNAcentral. Lineage: Eukaryota; Metazoa; Chordata; Mammalia; Primates; Hominidae.